UGAGUUUGAUCAUGGCUCAGAUUGAACGCUGGCGGCAGGCCUAACACAUGCAAGUCGAGCGGCAGCGACUUAACUGAACCUUCGGGGAACGUUAAGGGCGGCGAGCGGCGGACGGGUGAGUAAUGCCUGGGAAUAUGCCCUGAUGUGGGGGAUAACUAUUGGAAACGAUAGCUAAUACCGCAUAAUCUCUUCGGAGCAAAGAGGGGGACCUUCGGGCCUCUCGCGUCAGGAUUAGCCCAGGUGGGAUUAGCUUGUUGGUGAGGUAAUGGCUCACCAAGGCAACGAUCCCUAGCUGGUCUGAGAGGAUGAUCAGCCACACUGGAACUGAGACACGGUCCAGACUCCUACGGGAGGCAGCAGUGGGGAAUAUUGCACAAUGGGGGAAACCCUGAUGCAGCCAUGCCGCGUGUGUGAAGAAGGCCUUCGGGUUGUAAAGCACUUUCAGUAGGGAGGAAGGUAGUGUAGUUAACACCUGCAUUAUUUGACGUUACCUACAGAAGAAGCACCGGCUAACUCCGUGCCAGCAGCCGCGGUAAUACGGAGGGUGCGAGCGUUAAUCGGAAUUACUGGGCGUAAAGCGCAUGCAGGCGGCCUGUUAAGUCAGAUGUGAAAGCCCGGGGCUUAACCUCGGAAUUGCAUUU
Molecule: ribosomal RNA, 641 nt
Filed under: Photobacterium damselae subsp. piscicida
Lineage: Bacteria; Pseudomonadati; Pseudomonadota; Gammaproteobacteria; Vibrionales; Vibrionaceae
Description: bacterial SSU rRNA
Rfam family: Bacterial small subunit ribosomal RNA
Source: RNAcentral